AUUGAACGCUGGCGGCAGGCCUAACACAUGCAAGUCGAACGAGUGGCGGACGGGUGAGUAAUGUCUGGGAAACUGCCUGAUGGAGGGGGAUAACUACUGGAAACGGUAGCUAAUACCGCAUACCAUCAGAUGUGCCCAGGUGGGAUUAGCUUGUUGGUGGGGUAACGGCUCACCAAGGCGAAGAUCCCUAGCUGGCCUGAGAGGAUGACCAGCCACACUGGGACUGAGACACGGCCCAGACUCCUACGGGAGGCAGCAGUAGGGAAUAUUGGACAAUGGGCGCAAGCCUGAUGGAGCCAUGCCGCGUGUGUGAAGAAGGCCUUCGGGUUGUAAAGUACUGUCAGCGGAGAGGCGUUACCCGCCGAAGAAGCAACGGCUAACUCCGUGCCAGCAGCCGCGGUAAUUC
Molecule: ribosomal RNA, 406 nt
Filed under: uncultured bacterium
Lineage: Bacteria
Description: partial 16S ribosomal RNA
Rfam family: Bacterial small subunit ribosomal RNA
Source: RNAcentral